CUCAUCUCUGCCACUUUCCACUUAAUAUUUCCAGACUGCAGUUGGCUUCGGGUAACUUAAAGUGCAGAAAGCGACAUCACAGAAAGCCGGCUGCCCGAGCUGCUCCCAGCUGGGCGUCCGGGCACGAAGCUCCCUGUUUGUGAUGGCCCCUCCCUCCGCUCCUGCUCCGCACCUGGAUUAUGGUACUCGGCUUGCUCAUCAAAAUAAAUUCUUUCUCCUGUCACUUCAACCCCCAAAGCUCCGAGGCAGGUGCAGGACCCAGGAGGGCAGUCACAGCCCUGAGCCGGCUACCACCUGGCCCUAGACCCAUCAGACAUGGAGGAGUGGCCCACACGGGGGAGGGCCAGGCCUGUCCCUGCUCUCCUGGAGGAUGAAUGGGCUGCUCUGCCUGGAGCUUCCCCUGCCACUUUCUCUGACCCCAGCAGACCAAGCCUGCACACAGGAAGGCAGCACUGCUGGGCGGGCGAGGCAGUGCUUGCUGUAUCUGAGCACCUGGAUCCAGCCAUUCCUGAGGCCUGAUUCCCCCCCCCCAAUAAAUUCCAUUUUCUCCCUAA
Heterocephalus glaber (naked mole-rat) is the source of this 554-nucleotide long non-coding RNA. Lineage: Eukaryota; Metazoa; Chordata; Mammalia; Rodentia; Bathyergidae. The record is from Ensembl.